ACGAACGCUGGCGGCGUGCUUAACACUUGCAAGUCGAACGGAAAGGCCCUGCUUUUGUGGGGUGCUCGAGUGGCGAACGGGUGAGUAACACGUGAGUAACCUGCCCUUGACUUUGGGAUAACUUCAGGAAACUGGGGCUAAUACCGGAUAGGAGCUCCUGCUGCAUGGUGGGGGUUGGAAAGUUUCGGCGGUUGGGGAUGGACUCGCGGCUUAUCAGCUUGUUGGUGGGGUAGUGGCUUACCAAGGCUUUGACGGGUAGCCGGCCUGAGAGGGUGACCGGCCACAUUGGGACUGAGAUACGGCCCAGACUCCUACGGGAGGCAGCAGUGGGGAAUAUUGCACAAUGGGCGGAAGCCUGAUGCAGCAACGCCGCGUGCGGGAUGACGGCCUUCGGGUUGUAAACCGCUUUCGCCUGUGACGAAGCGUGAGUGACGGUAAUGGGUAAAGAAGCACCGGCUAACUACGUG
RNAcentral lists this ribosomal RNA (467 nucleotides) under uncultured bacterium. RNAcentral's name for it is "partial 16S ribosomal RNA". It matches the Rfam family "Bacterial small subunit ribosomal RNA", at positions 29 to 507 of the family's 1533-position model. The record is from RNAcentral.